Molecule: ribosomal RNA, 2975 nt
Filed under: Holophaga foetida
Lineage: Bacteria; Pseudomonadati; Acidobacteriota; Holophagae; Holophagales; Holophagaceae
Description: bacterial LSU rRNA
Rfam family: Bacterial large subunit ribosomal RNA
Source: RNAcentral
AUGGAAGGUCAAGUGAUUAAGGGUUGACGGUGAAUGCCUUGGCUGAUGGCCGCGAUGAAGGACGUGGUAAGCUGCGAAAAGUCUCGGGGAGUUGCACGCGAACGGUGAUCCGGGAAUGUCCGAAUGGGGAAACCCUCCUUGGUGAAAGUCAAGGAAUCUCUUUAGCUGAAUACAUAGGCUUAAGAGAAGCGAACGUGGGGAAGUGAACCAUCUCAGUACCCACAGGAAGAGAAAACAAAAGUGAUUCCGGUAGUAGCGGCGAGCGAAACCGGAACAGCCCAAACCUUAUACGUGUAAGCUUGCAGGCGUUGCGUAUGGGGGGUCGUGGGAGCCACAAGUCCGAGCUGCUUAUCGGGCACAGAGUUACAAAGUCAACGUUUAGCGGAACGGUAUGGAAAGGCUGACGGUACAGGGUGAUAGUCCCGUAUGCGAAAAGCGAUUGACCUCUGAGUGGAUUUCCCAAGUACAGCGGGGCACGAGAAACCUUGCUGGAAUUUGCCGCGACCAUGCGGUAAGGCUAAAUAGGUCCAUCAGACCGAUAGUGAACUAGUACCGUGAGGGAAAGGCGAAAAGAACCCCGAUGAGGGGAGUGAAAUAGAACCUGAAACCGUCAAUCUACAAGCAGUGGAACCCCUAUGGUUUACCAGGGGAACCGCGUGCCUUUUGCAUAAUGAGCCGGCUAGUUAUUUUCAGUGGCGAGGCGAAGCCGAAGAGGCGAAGUCGUAGGGAAACCGAGUCUGAAUAGGGCGACAGUCGCUGGGAAUAGACGCGAAACGGGAUGAUCUAUCCUUGACCAGGAUGAAGCUACGGUGAAACGUAGUGGAGGUCCGAACCAGUGUGGGUUGAAAACCGCUUGGAUGAGUUGAGGAUAGGGGUGAAAGGCCAAUCAAAUUCCGUGAUAGCUCGUUCUCCCCGAAAUAGCUUAAGGGCUAGCGUCGGAUGUUUCGUCGUGCAGGUAGAGAGUCUGAAUGGACUAGGGGGCUUACCAGCUUACUGAAUCCAACCAAUCUUCGAAUGGCACGCCGUGAAGUCCGGCAGUCAGACUGCGGGAGAUAAGUUCCGUAGUCGAGAGGGAAAGAACCCAGAUCGCCAGCUAAGGUCCCAAAAUACAUGCUAAGUGGAAAAGGAUGUGGAUGUGCUUAGACAGCCAGGAGGUUAGCUUAGAAGCAGCUAUCCUUUAAAGAAAGCGUAAUAGCUCACUGGUCAAGCGGGUCUGUGCCGACAAUUCAACGGGGCUCAAGCAUGUUACCGAAGCUGCGAACAGUAUUCUGUGGUAGGGGAGCAUUCCCUAAGUCUGUGAAGGUUGACCGUAAGGACAGCUGGAGACAUGGGAAGAGACUCUGUCGGCAUAAGUAGCGAAAAGACGGGUGAGAACCCCGUCCGCCGUAAGACUAAGGUUUCCAACGCAAGGUCAAUCCGCGUUGGGUUAGUCGGGCCCUAAGCCGAGGCCGAGAGGCGUAGGCGAUGGAAAGCUGGUUAAUAUUCCAGCACCAUGAUUAUCUCGUUUGUACGAUGCAGGGACGCAGGAAGGUAGGGACGCACGACUAUGGAAUGUGGUGUGCAAGCUUUCAAGGGUGUGAGCCAGGGAAGUCCGGUUCACGUUAAGCCCAAGAAUUCUGACGAAAAGUCCCUGAUCCUACACUGCCGAGAAAAGCUGCUAAGGAGAGGUAGUUGUGUCCGUACCGCAAACCGACACAGGUAGUCGAGGAGAGAAUCCUCAGGCGUUUGAGAGAACUCUGCUGAAGGAACUCGGCAAAUUAACCCCGUAACUUCGGGAGAAGGGGUGCCCCGGUAGGGUUCAUAGCCCGAGGGGGUGGCACAUAAAUGUUCCAGGCGACUGUUUAACAAAAACACAGGUCUCUGCAAACUCCAAAGAGGAGGUAUAGGGGCUGACGCCUGCCCGGUGCCGGAAGGUUCAAGAGGAGCGGUUAGCGCAAGCGAAGCCGCGAUUUUAAGCCCCGGUGAACGGCGGCCGUAACUAUAACGGUCCUAAGGUAGCGAAAUUCCUUGUCGGGUAAGUUCCGACCUGCACGAAUGGCGUAACGAUCUGGAAACUGUCUCCAGCAGAGACUCAGCGAACUUGUAGCACCGGUGAAGAUGCCGGUUACCCGCACUUAGACGGAAAGACCCCGUGCACCUUUACUACAACUUGACAUUGAUGUCGGUAUUGUGCUGUGCAGAGUAGGUGGGAGGCUGUGAAAUUGGCUCGUUAGGGUCGAUGGAGCCAUCGUUGAGAUACCACCCUGCGCAAUGCUGAUAUCUAACCCACGCCCGUAAUCCGGGUGGGAGACAGUGUCAGGCGGGUAGUUUGACUGGGGCGGUCGCCUCCUAAAGCGUAACGGAGGCGUGCGAAGGUUCCCUCAGGCUGUUUGGAAAUCAGCCGCAGAGCGCAAUGGUAUAAGGGAGCUUAACUGCGAGACACACACGUCGAGCAGGUGCGAAAGCGGGUCAUAGUGAUCCGGUGGUUCCGAAUGGAAGGGCCAUCGCUCAACGGAUAAAAGGUACGCCGGGGAUAACAGGCUGAUCUUGCCCAAGAGUUCAUAUCGACGGCAAGGUUUGGCACCUCGAUGUCGACUCAUCGCAUCCUGGGGCUGGAGCAGGUCCCAAGGGUUCGGCUGUUCGCCGAUUAAUAGCGGUACGUGAGUUGGGUUCAGAACGUCGCGAGACAGUUCGGUCCCUAUCUAGUGUGGGCGUAGGAUAUUUGAGAGGACCUGUCCUUAGUACGAGAGGACCGGGAUGGACUGACCUCUGGUGUUCCAGUUGUGUUUCCAAAUGCAACGCUGGGUAGCUAUGUCGGGAAGUGAGAAGCGCUGAAAGCAUCUAAGCGCGAAACACCCCUCAAGAUGAGAUAUCCCCACGAGACCCGUCGUAGAACACGACGUUGAUAGGUCGCAUGUGUAAGCGCAGUAAUGCGUUGAGCUGAGCGAUACUAAUUGGUCCCACUGGCUUGACCUUUCAUCAAUCAAUUACAUUUG